CCUACGGGUGGCAGCAGUGAGGAAUAUUGGUCAAUGGUCGGGAGACUGAACCAGCCAAGCCGCGUGAGGGAUGAAGGUACAGAGUAUCGUAAACCUCUUUUGUCAGGGAACAAAGGCGGGGACGCGUCCCCGGAUGAGUGUACCUGAAGAAAAAGCAUCGGGUAACUCCGUGCCAGCAGCCGCGGUAAUACGGAGGAUGCGAGCGUUAGCCGGUUUUAUUGGGUUUAAAGGGUGUGCAGGCGGUCUGUUAAGUCAGCGGUAAAAGCCCGGGGCUCAACCCCGGCCCGCCGGUGAAACUGGCAGUCUCGAGUUGGAGAGAAGUAUGCGGAAUGCGCGGUGUAGCGGUGAAAUGCAUAGAUAUCGCGCAGAACUCCGAUUGCGAAGGCAGCAUGCCGGCUCCACACUGACGCUGAGGCACGAAAGCGUGGGUAUCGAACAGGAUUAGAUACCCGAGUAGUC
Molecule: ribosomal RNA, 459 nt
Filed under: uncultured bacterium
Lineage: Bacteria
Description: partial 16S ribosomal RNA
Rfam family: Bacterial small subunit ribosomal RNA
Source: RNAcentral